GACUACUAUGGACUUUUUGACUGCCUUUUAAGCAGUGGGUCCGGGGUUCGAAUCCCCGACGGGUCACCA
RNAcentral lists this transfer RNA (69 nucleotides) under Flavonifractor plautii. RNAcentral describes it as "tRNA-Ser". Lineage: Bacteria; Bacillati; Bacillota; Clostridia; Eubacteriales; Oscillospiraceae. RNAcentral also lists the same sequence under 1 other name. The record is from RNAcentral.